CAAUAGCGUAUAUUAAAGUUGUUGCAGUUAAAAAGCUCGUAGUUGGAUCUCAGGUCCAGGCUUGCGGUCCACUCCUUGGUGGCUACUGCUCGUCCUGACCUACCUCCCGGUUUUACCCUUGGUGCUCUUGAUUGAGUGUCUCGGGUGGCCGGAACAUUUACUUUGAAAAAUUAGAGUGUUCAAAGCAGGCAAUUCGCCUGAAUAAUGGUGCAUGGAAUAAUGGAAUAGGACCUCGGUUCUAUUUUGUUGGUUUUCGGAACUUGAGGUAAUGAUUAAGAGGGACAGACGGGGGCAUUCGUAUUACGGUGUUAGAGGUGAAAUUCUUGGAUCGCCGUAAGACGAACUACUGCGAAAGCAUUUGCCAAGAAUGUUUUCAUUAAUCAAGAUCGAAAGUCAGAGGUUCGAAGACGAUUAGAUACCA
Molecule: ribosomal RNA, 421 nt
Filed under: uncultured eukaryote
Lineage: Eukaryota
Description: SSU rRNA
Rfam family: Eukaryotic small subunit ribosomal RNA
Source: RNAcentral